CGUAGGUGGCAAGCGUUGUCCGGAAUUAUUGGGCGUAAAGCGCGCGCAGGUGGGAUAAUAAGUCUGAUGUUAAAGUUCGGGGCUCAACCCCGUGAAGCAUUUGGAUACUGUUAUUCUUGAGUGCAGGAGAGGAAAGUGGAAUUCCUAGUGUAGCGGUGAAAUGCGUAGAUAUUAGGAGGAACACCAGUGGCGAAGGCGGCUUUCUGGACUGUGUCUGACACUGAGGCGCGAAAGCCAGGGUAGUGAACGGGAUUAGAUACCCCGGUAAUCCUGGCCGUAAACGAUGGGUACUAGGUGUUGGGGGUAUCGACCCCUCCAGUGCCGGAGUUAACGCAAUAAGUACCCCGCCUGGGGAGUACGGCCGCAAGGUUG
This 372-nucleotide ribosomal RNA is filed under the name uncultured organism. RNAcentral describes it as "bacterial SSU rRNA". It matches the Rfam family "Bacterial small subunit ribosomal RNA", at positions 526 to 896 of the family's 1533-position model. The record is from RNAcentral.